RNAcentral lists this small nuclear RNA (155 nucleotides) under Microcebus murinus (gray mouse lemur). RNAcentral describes it as "U2 spliceosomal RNA (ENSMICG00000023833.3)". The stretch from base 1 to 136 matches the Rfam family "U2 spliceosomal RNA". From Rfam's summary of the family: U2 is a small nuclear RNA (snRNA) component of the spliceosome (involved in pre-mRNA splicing). Complementary binding between U2 snRNA (in an area lying towards the 5' end but 3' to hairpin I) and the branchpoint sequence (BPS) of the intron results the bulging out of an unpaired adenosine, on the BPS, which initiates a nucleophilic attack at the intronic 5' splice site, thus starting the first of two transesterification reactions that mediate splicing. The record is from RNAcentral. Lineage: Eukaryota; Metazoa; Chordata; Mammalia; Primates; Cheirogaleidae.
AUUGCUUCUCAGCCUUUUGGCUAAGAUCAAGUGUAAUAUCUGUUCUUAUCAGUUUAAAGCAUAGCAGGGACAUUUAGGCAGUGAUUGUAGUUGCCAGGAAUAUAGGCACCAGCUGGAUUCAAAUCCCAGACCUACUGCUUACUAGCUGUGUGAUG